UGACUCUGCGAGAAGUCCAUUGAACCUUAUCAUUUAGAGGAAGGAGAAGUCGUAACAAGGUUUCCGUAGGUGAACCUGCGGAAGGAUCAUUGUUGAUAUCGAAAAUAUAUCGAGUUAUUCGAAAAACCUGUUAAAUAAGCGCUGGCAUCUGUCAUCGUACAAAAUUCAUCCCCCUUGUUGCCCCAUCUCCCUAGGAUCUGUCGCCAUAACGGAGGAUGAAAAACAAAAUUCAAACCGGCGCAGCUCCGCGCCAAGUACACAUCGAAAACACGUGAAGCCUUAUAUUGGGUUUUUAGUGAUGGAGUGCGUCUCAUUCCAUAUAUCAACAUGACUCUCGGCAAUGGAUAUCUCGGCUCUUGCAUCGAUGAAGAGCGCAGCGAAAUGCGAUACGUGAUGCGAAUUGCAGAAUCCCGUGAACCAUCGAGUCUUUGAACGCAAGUUGCGCCCGAGGCCAAUCGGCUAAGGGCACGUUCGCCUGGGCGUCAAGCAUUGCAUCGCUCCGCGCUAGCUCCAUCCCAUCCGUGGAUGUGUUGCUGGAUAUAGCCCGAAUGCGUAGAAUGACUCCCCGUGCUUAUGGUGCGGCGGGUUGAAAAGUGUGGUUUUGUCUCGCUUGGCCGUGAGCAACAAGGGGUGGAUGACGGAAAUACCUAAUGUUGUUUGUGCCGGCCUAACAAGAGACGGACUUCUCAUUUAAUCCAAACCCAUGCGUUGGUCCAAAGACGACGACAUGGAAUGCGACCCCAGGACGGGCGAGGCCACCCGCUGAGUUUAAGCAUAUCAAUAAGCG
Molecule: ribosomal RNA, 787 nt
Filed under: Liparis meihuashanensis
Lineage: Eukaryota; Viridiplantae; Streptophyta; Magnoliopsida; Asparagales; Orchidaceae
Description: eukaryotic LSU rRNA
Rfam family: 5.8S ribosomal RNA (bases 330-485)
Source: RNAcentral